UUGCGCAAUGGGCGAAAGCCUGACGCAGCAACGCCGCGUGCUCGAGGAAGGCCUUCGGGUCGUAAAGAGCUUUUUGGGGCUGAAGAUGAUGACGGUACCUGAAGAAUAAGUCCCGGCUAACUACGUGCCAGCAGCCGCGGUAAAACGUAGGGGACAAGCGUUAUCCGGAUUUAUUGGGCGUAAAGCGCACGUAGGCGGCUUAGUAAGUUGGACGUGAAAGCUCCCGGCUUAACUGGGAGAGGUCGUACAAGACUGCUAGGCUAGAGGCUGGAAGAGGAGCGUGGAAUUCCCGGUGUAGUGGUGGAAUGCGUAGAUAUCGGGAGGAACACCAGUGGCGAAAGCGACGCUCUGGUUCAGCACUGACGCUCAUGUGCGAAAGCGUGGGGAGCGAACGGGAUUAGAUACCCCGGUAGUCCACGCUGUAAACGAUGGAUACUAGGUGUAGGAGGAUAUAAACCCCUUCUGUGCCGAAGCCAACGCGUUAAGUAUCCCGCCUGGGGACUACGGCCGCAAGGUUA
Molecule: ribosomal RNA, 518 nt
Filed under: uncultured bacterium
Lineage: Bacteria
Description: bacterial SSU rRNA
Rfam family: Bacterial small subunit ribosomal RNA
Source: RNAcentral